GAUGAAGAACGCAGUAAAUCGCGAUAUGUAAUGUGAUCUGCCUAUAGUGAAUCAUCAAAUCUUUGAACGCAUCUUGCACCUUAUGGUAUUCCAUAAGGUACGUCUGUUUCAGUACCACUAGUAAAUCUCCCCUCCACCUUGGUGGUUUAAAAGGAAGAGAUAAAUUAUUACUGGUUCUGGUGAUUCUUGAUUUAUUAAGAAUUACUCUCGACCUAAAUAUAAGGCUCGACUUUUUUAUUAGAUCUUGCAUCUGGUAAAACCUAGUCGGCUUUAAUAGGAUUUAUUUCUUAUUAGGUUUAUAGCCAUCAUUUUACUUUUAAAUCUUGGCCUGAAAUCAGAUGGGACUACCCGCUGAACUUAAGCAUAUCAAUAAGCGGAGGA
RNAcentral lists this unclassified non-coding RNA (381 nucleotides) under soil metagenome. RNAcentral describes it as "partial contains 5.8S ribosomal RNA, internal transcribed spacer 2, and large subunit ribosomal RNA". The stretch from base 1 to 117 matches the Rfam family "5.8S ribosomal RNA", at positions 35 to 154 of the family's 154-position model. The record is from RNAcentral.